RNAcentral lists this ribosomal RNA (254 nucleotides) under uncultured bacterium. Its description in RNAcentral is "partial 16S ribosomal RNA". It matches the Rfam family "Bacterial small subunit ribosomal RNA", at positions 524 to 776 of the family's 1533-position model. The record is from RNAcentral.
UACGUAGGGUGCAAGCGUUAAUCGGAAUUACUGGGCGUAAAGCGUGCGUAGGUGGCUUGUUAAGUCGGAUGUGAAAGCCCCGGGCUCAACCUGGGAACUGCAUCCGAUACUGACGAGCUUGGAGUUUGGAAGAGGGUGGUGGAAUUCCCGGUGUAGCGGUGAAAUGCGUAGAGAUCGGGAGGAACAUCAGUGGCGAAGGCGGCCACCUGGUCCAAAACUGACGCUGAUGCACGAAAGCGUGGGGAGCAAACAGG